This 254-nucleotide ribosomal RNA is filed under the name uncultured prokaryote. RNAcentral describes it as "partial 16S ribosomal RNA". It matches the Rfam family "Bacterial small subunit ribosomal RNA", at positions 524 to 777 of the family's 1533-position model. The record is from RNAcentral.
UACGGGGGGGGCAAGCGUUGUUCGGAAUUACUGGGCGUAAAGGGCGCGCAGGUGGCUUGGCAAGUCGAGUGUGAAAUCCCUUGGCUUAACUAAGGAAUGGCGCUCGAAACUACCUCGCUGGAGGGCGGGAGAGGGAAGUGGAACUCUCGGUGUAGGGGUGAAAUCUGUAGAUAUCGAGAGGAACACCGGUGGCGAAGGCGGCUUCCUGGCCCGUACCUGACGCUGAGGCGCGAAAGCGUGGGGAGCAAACAGGA